GUUGCGUCUUAAGUUCUAAUCGAGGGACUGCGCACUUGUUGGUCUCUCUUUGUUAGAUGCAUAAUAAUACCCAGGAUUAAACAGCUUGAUGAUCAUUAUGACAUUGUGUUACCUGUCUCCUGGUAAAUUU
Molecule: small nucleolar RNA, 130 nt
Organism: Beta vulgaris subsp. vulgaris (sugar beet)
Lineage: Eukaryota; Viridiplantae; Streptophyta; Magnoliopsida; Caryophyllales; Amaranthaceae
Rfam family: small nucleolar RNA snoR137
Source: Rfam